RNAcentral lists this ribosomal RNA (253 nucleotides) under uncultured bacterium. RNAcentral's name for it is "partial 16S ribosomal RNA". It matches the Rfam family "Bacterial small subunit ribosomal RNA", at positions 524 to 776 of the family's 1533-position model. The record is from RNAcentral.
UACGGAGGGUGCAAGCGUUGUCCGGAAUCACUGGGCGUAAAGGGCGCGUAGGCGGCUCGGUGAGUAGGGGGUGAAAUCCUGCGGCUUAACCGCAGGGCUGCCUUCUAAACUGUCGAGCUCGAGCACGGUAGAGGCAGAUGGAAUUCCCGGUGUAGCGGUGGAAUGCGUAGAGAUCGGGAAGAACAUCAGUGGCGAAGGCGGUCUGCUGGGCCGUUGCUGACGCUGAGGCGCGACAGCGUGGGGAGCAAACAGG